RNAcentral lists this long non-coding RNA (388 nucleotides) under Salvia miltiorrhiza (redroot sage). Its description in RNAcentral is "long non-coding RNA (SMIL_LNC001563)". The record is from RNAcentral. Lineage: Eukaryota; Viridiplantae; Streptophyta; Magnoliopsida; Lamiales; Lamiaceae.
CCGCUGACGGUAUAAUCAAUAAAUGCGCUGGGGAAGCCCUCCUUUUGGUCGUCAACAGAGAGACUCGAUCGCCGCUGAGAAACUCGCCGGGCAGCCCAUCUUUUGGCCGUGGAAUGCAGUCAACAGAGAAUUGAAUCGCCGCUGACGGGAUAAUCAAUAAACUUGCCGGGAAUGGAUAAUUAGUUUAGGGAGGGAAAUCAGACUGUUAACUUUUUGUUUAAAUUUAUGAAAAUGGAGCACGUAUUGGCUUUAAUUAGUCUUGCUUUAAUUUUGUUAAAAUUCAAUAAUACCUUUUUCUUGUUAAAAUUUGAUAGGCAAUUAACCCUAAAUAAAAUUAAAACACUAAUAUUUCGUACUAUUAAUUAUGACGUGUUAAAUGCAUUUUUUU